RNAcentral lists this ribosomal RNA (800 nucleotides) under Halomonas sp. Mg62. Its description in RNAcentral is "bacterial SSU rRNA". It matches the Rfam family "Bacterial small subunit ribosomal RNA", at positions 77 to 879 of the family's 1533-position model. Lineage: Bacteria; Pseudomonadati; Pseudomonadota; Gammaproteobacteria; Oceanospirillales; Halomonadaceae. RNAcentral also lists the same sequence under 1 other name. The record is from RNAcentral.
CUUGCUGGAUGCUGACGAGCGGCGGACGGGUGAGUAACGCAUAGGAAUUUACCCGGUAGUGGGGGAUAACCUGGGGAAACUCAGGCUAAUACCGCAUACGUCCUACGGGAGAAAGGGGGCUUUGGCUCCCGCUAUCGGAUGAGCCUAUGCCGGAUUAGCUGGUUGGUGAGGUAAUGGCUCACCAAGGCGACGAUCCGUAGCUGGUCUGAGAGGAUGAUCAGCCACAUCGGGACUGAGACACGGCCCGAACUCCUACGGGAGGCAGCAGUGGGGAAUAUUGGACAAUGGGGGCAACCCUGAUCCAGCCAUGCCGCGUGUGUGAAGAAGGCCCUCGGGUUGUAAAGCACUUUCAGCGAGGAAGAACGCCUGGUGGUUAAUACCCGCCAGGAAAGACAUCACUCGCAGAAGAAGCACCGGCUAACUCCGUGCCAGCAGCCGCGGUAAUACGGAGGGUGCAAGCGUUAAUCGGAAUUACUGGGCGUAAAGCGCGCGUAGGUGGCUUGAUAAGCCGGUUGUGAAAGCCCCGGGCUCAACCUGGGAACGGCAUCCGGAACUAUGAGGCUAGAGUGCAGGAGAGGAAGGUAGAAUUCCCGGUGUAGCGGUGAAAUGCGUAGAGAUCGGGAGGAAUACCAGUGGCGAAGGCGGCCUUCUGGACUGACACUGACACUGAGGUGCGAAAGCGUGGGUAGCAAACAGGAUUAGAUACCCUGGUAGUCCACGCCGUAAACGAUGUCGACCAGCCGUUGGGUGCCUAGCGCACUUUGUGGCGAAGUUAACGCGAUAAGUCGACCGCCUGGGGA